Molecule: ribosomal RNA, 2045 nt
Filed under: Salmonella enterica
Lineage: Bacteria; Pseudomonadati; Pseudomonadota; Gammaproteobacteria; Enterobacterales; Enterobacteriaceae
Also listed under: 1 other name
Description: partial 23S ribosomal RNA
Rfam family: Bacterial large subunit ribosomal RNA
Source: RNAcentral
GAGCACUGUUUCGGCUAGGGGGCCAUCCCGGCUUACCAACCCGAUGCAAACUGCGAAUACCGGAGAAUGUUAUCACGGGAGACACACGGCGGGUGCUAACGUCCGUCGUGAAGAGGGAAACAACCCAGACCGCCAGCUAAGGUCCCAAAGUCAUGGUUAAGUGGGAAACGAUGUGGGAAGGCCCAGACAGCCAGGAUGUUGGCUUAGAAGCAGCCAUCAUUUAAAGAAAGCGUAAUAGCUCACUGGUCGAGUCGGCCUGCGCGGAAGAUGUAACGGGGCUAAACCAUGCACCGAAGCUGCGGCAGCGACGCUGAUGCGUUGUUGGGUAGGGGAGCGUUCUGUAAGCCUGCGAAGGUGGCCUGUGAGGGUUGCUGGAGGUAUCAGAAGUGCGAAUGCUGACAUAAGUAACGAUAAAGCGGGUGAAAAGCCCGCUCGCCGGAAGACCAAGGGUUCCUGUCCAACGUUAAUCGGGGCAGGGUGAGUCGACCCCUAAGGCGAGGCCGAAAGGCGUAGUCGAUGGGAAACGGGUUAAUAUUCCCGUACUUGGUGUUACUGCGAAGGGGGGACGGAGAAGGCUAUGUUGGCCGGGCGACGGUUGUCCCGGUUUAAGCGUGUAGGUGUGUGUUCCAGGUAAAUCCGGUUCACUUUAACACUGAGGCGUGAUGACGAGGCACUACGGUGCUGAAGCAACAAAUGCCCUGCUUCCAGGAAAAGCCUCUAAGCAUCAGGUAACAUCAAAUCGUACCCCAAACCGACACAGGUGGUCAGGUAGAGAAUACCAAGGCGCUUGAGAGAACUCGGGUGAAGGAACUAGGCAAAAUGGUGCCGUAACUUCGGGAGAAGGCACGCUGACACGUAGGUGAAGUGAUUUACUCAUGGAGCUGAAGUCAGUCGAAGAUACCAGCUGGCUGCAACUGUUUAUUAAAAACACAGCACUGUGCAAACACGAAAGUGGACGUAUACGGUGUGACGCCUGCCCGGUGCCGGAAGGUUAAUUGAUGGGGUCAGCGCAAGCGAAGCUCCUGAUCGAAGCCCCGGUAAACGGCGGCCGUAACUAUAACGGUCCUAAGGUAGCGAAAUUCCUUGUCGGGUAAGUUCCGACCUGCACGAAUGGCGUAAUGAUGGCCAGGCUGUCUCCACCCGAGACUCAGUGAAAUUGAACUCGCUGUGAAGAUGCAGUGUACCCGCGGCAAGACGGAAAGACCCCGUGAACCUUUACUAUAGCUUGACACUGAACAUUGAGCCUUGAUGUGUAGGAUAGGUGGGAGGCUUUGAAGUGUGGACGCCAGUCUGCAUGGAGCCGGCCUUGAAAUACCACCCUUUAAUGUUUGAUGUUCUAACGUGGACCCGUGAUCCGGGUUGCGGACAGUGUCUGGUGGGUAGUUUGACUGGGGCGGUCUCCUCCUAAAGAGUAACGGAGGAGCACGAAGGUUGGCUAAUCCUGGUCGGACAUCAGGAGGUUAGUGCAAUGGCAUAAGCCAGCUUGACUGCGAGCGUGACGGCGCGAGCAGGUGCGAAAGCAGGUCAUAGUGAUCCGGUGGUUCUGAAUGGAAGGGCCAUCGCUCAACGGAUAAAAGGUACUCCGGGGAUAACAGGCUGAUACCGCCCAAGAGUUCAUAUCGACGGCGGUGUUUGGCACCUCGAUGUCGGCUCAUCACAUCCUGGGGCUGAAGUAGGUCCCAAGGGUAUGGCUGUUCGCCAUUUAAAGUGGUACGCGAGCUGGGUUUAGAACGUCGUGAGACAGUUCGGUCCCUAUCUGCCGUGGGCGCUGGAGAACUGAGGGGGGCUGCUCCUAGUACGAGAGGACCGGAGUGGACGCAUCACUGGUGUUCGGGUUGUCAUGCCAAUGGCACUGCCCGGUAGCUAAAUGCGGAAGAGAUAAGUGCUGAAAGCAUCUAAGCACGAAACUUGCCCCGAGAUGAGUUCUCCCUGAGACUUAGAGUCUCCUGAAGGAACGUUGAAGACGACGACGUUGAUAGGCCGGGUGUGUAAGCGCAGCGAUGCGUUGAGCUAACCGGUACUAAUGAACCGUGAGGCUUAACCUU